Molecule: transfer RNA, 80 nt
Filed under: Tritrichomonas foetus
Lineage: Eukaryota; Parabasalia; Tritrichomonadida; Tritrichomonadidae
Rfam family: tRNA
About the family: Transfer RNA (tRNA) molecules are approximately 80 nucleotides in length. Their secondary structure includes four short double-helical elements and three loops (D, anti-codon, and T loops).
Source: Rfam by way of RNAcentral
GGUUGUUUGGCCGAGUGGUCCAAGGCGCCAGUUUAAGGCACUGGUCUGAGAGGGCGUGGGUUCGAACCCCACAGCAACCA